CCUACGGGUGGCAGCAGUGGGGAAUAUUGGGCAAUGGGCGAAAGCCUGACCCAGCAACGCCGCGUGAAGGAAGAAGGCUUUCGGGUUGUAAACUUCUUUUGACAGGGAAGAGCAGAAGACGGUACCUGUCGAAUAAGCCACGGCCAACUUCGUGCCAGCAGCCGCGGUAAUUCGUAGGUGGCAAGCGUUGUCCGGAUUUACUGGGGGUAAAGGGGGUGUAGCCGGGUUGACAAGUCAGAUGUGAAAUCCGGGGGCUCAACCCCCGAACUGCCUUUGAAACUGUUGGUCUUGAGUGUCGGAGAGGCAGGCGGAAUUCCUAGUGUAGCGGUGAAAUGCGUAGAUAUUAGGAGGAACACCAGUGGCGAAGGCGGCCUGCUGGACGACAACUGACGGUGAGGCACGAAAGCGUGGGGAGCAAACAGGAUUAGAUACCCCUGUAGUC
This 442-nucleotide ribosomal RNA is filed under the name uncultured bacterium. RNAcentral describes it as "partial 16S ribosomal RNA". It matches the Rfam family "Bacterial small subunit ribosomal RNA", at positions 338 to 795 of the family's 1533-position model. The record is from RNAcentral.